Molecule: ribosomal RNA, 497 nt
Filed under: Neogloboquadrina incompta
Lineage: Eukaryota; Foraminifera; Rotaliida; Globorotaliidae
Description: bacterial SSU rRNA
Rfam family: Eukaryotic small subunit ribosomal RNA
Source: RNAcentral
ACCACAAGAACGCGUGGAGCAUGUGGCUUAAUUUGACUCAACGCGGGAAAUCUUACCAGGUCCGGACACACUGAGGAUUGACAGGAAGUAUCGUCUUUUGAAUUCUUUAAGGAUAUGUCGUUUUUAAUGACAUCUUUUAGAUGGAUGAUUCGUGUAAAUAUGCUAGUUCUUUCAUGAUUAUGUGAUAGGUGGUGCAUGGCCGUUCUUAGUUCGUGGAGUGAUCUGUCUGCUUAAUUGCGUUUCACUAAGGCCCCAAAGUUAGCAAAUUAUCAAUCGUUACAGAGUCGACCCCUCACCUUUGAGUGCGCGUCCUAACUUGUAGUACAUGGUGUAAAUGGAUUUGUUUUGGGUACCCAGAAAGCAACGAACGUGACCGCAACGUCUUGUUGUCUCUCUUUGACAGUUAUGGGUUAUCCCAGUCAUGUGUUUAUACUUUUAUGUGUAAAUACGUACGACACAGAGACUAGAUACCAAACUAGGCGUACCGCUGUAUCAUU